RNAcentral lists this ribosomal RNA (221 nucleotides) under Salmonella enterica subsp. enterica serovar Infantis. RNAcentral describes it as "partial 23S ribosomal RNA". It matches the Rfam family "Bacterial large subunit ribosomal RNA", at positions 1658 to 1861 of the family's 2925-position model. Lineage: Bacteria; Pseudomonadati; Pseudomonadota; Gammaproteobacteria; Enterobacterales; Enterobacteriaceae. The record is from RNAcentral.
CACAGGUGGUCAGGUAGAGAAUACCAAGGCGCUUGAGAGAACUCGGGUGAAGGAACUAGGCAAAAUGGUGCCGUAACUUCGGGAGAAGGCACGCUGACACGUAGGUGAAGUGAUUUACUCAUGGAGCUGAAGUCAGUCGAAGAUACCAGCUGGCUGCAACUGUUUAUUAAAAACACAGCACUGUGCAAACACGAAAGUGGACGUAUACGGUGUGACGCCUG